AAAGUACUCCCUCUGUUCCAAAUUACUCGUCGCAGAAAUGGAUGUAUCUAGAACUAUAAUACAUCUAGAUACAUCCAUACCUACGACAAGUAAUCCGGAACGGAGGGAGUACACA
Triticum aestivum (bread wheat) is the source of this 115-nucleotide non-coding RNA. The record is from Rfam. Lineage: Eukaryota; Viridiplantae; Streptophyta; Magnoliopsida; Poales; Poaceae.